CAGGAAGAGAAGUUGGUCAGGAGACUCAGAGGUCAGGAAAGAAAGACUCACCAGCCAGGCCGCACACAGCUGCCCGAGGCCAAGCUACCAGGGUGAUACCGCUGAGCGCAGAAUGGGAGGAGAUGCACACACGGUGGCUGUCACGAGCUGUGCCAGCUGUGUCCCUAUGCUGUGUGCACAUCUGGCUCCGCCCACUGAGCGAUUCGGCCAAGCCCUGCACUGGAUGUAGGAGAGGAGGAUGUCACCUCAUGCCCGAGGGGGUCAGGAGUACCCAGUGCCCUCCAGCAACACCAGGAACCUGUCUUACUCUCCGUCAAUUAUUAAAUAUUCACAACGAUCAUCAUCUCUUUCAUCUUUAUUACUUAAGCC
Suricata suricatta (meerkat) is the source of this 369-nucleotide long non-coding RNA. RefSeq lists it as uncharacterized. The record is from RefSeq and is a predicted model, not a curated record. Lineage: Eukaryota; Metazoa; Chordata; Mammalia; Carnivora; Herpestidae. The transcript has 3 exons.